GACGAACGCUGGCGGUGUGCUUAACACAUGCAAGUCGAACGGUAAGGCCCUUUCGGGGGUACACGAGUGGCGAACGGGUGAGUAACACGUGAGUAACCUGCCCUCAUCUCUGGGAUAACAGUCGGAAACGGUUGCUAAUACUGGAUAUGAGCUUGCAAGGCAUCUUGUGGGUUGGAAAGAUUUUUUUGGUUGGGGAUGGACUCGCGGCCUAUCAGCUUGUUGGUGAGGUAGUGGCUCACCAAGGCUUCGACGGGUAGCCGGCCUGAGAGGGCGACCGGCCACAUUGGGACUGAGAUACGGCCCAAACUCCUACGGGAGGCAGCAGUGGGGAAUAUUGCACAAGGGACGGAAGUCUGAUGCAGCAACGCCGCGUGCGGGAUGACGGCCUUCGGGUUGUAAACCGCUUUCAAUUGUGACGAAGCUUUUUGUGACGGUAGCAGUAGAAGAAGCACCGGCUAACUACGUG
Molecule: ribosomal RNA, 466 nt
Filed under: uncultured bacterium
Lineage: Bacteria
Description: partial 16S ribosomal RNA
Rfam family: Bacterial small subunit ribosomal RNA
Source: RNAcentral